AAUAAAGUGCCUGAAUAAAGGAUUAUUCUGAUAGAAUAAAUUAUGUAAAUUUUUUUACCUUUAUUA
This 66-nucleotide transfer RNA is filed under the name Ideopsis vulgaris. RNAcentral's name for it is "tRNA-Ile". Lineage: Eukaryota; Metazoa; Arthropoda; Insecta; Lepidoptera; Nymphalidae. The record is from RNAcentral.